UGGGGAAUUUUGGACAAUGGGCGAAAGCCUGAUCCAGCAAUGCCGCGUGUGUGAGGAAGGCCUUCGGGUUGUAAAGCACUUUUGUCCGGAAAGAAAUCCUUGGCUCUAAUACAGUCGGGGGAUGACGGUACCGGAAGAAUAAGCACCGGCUAACUACGUGCCAGCAGCCGCGGUAAUACGUAGGGUGCAAGCGUUAAUCGGAAUUACUGGGCGUAAAGCGUGCGCAGGCGGUUUGCUAAGACCGAUGUGAAAUCCCCGGGCUCAACCUGGGAACUGCAUUGGUGACUGGCAGGCUAGAGUAUGGCAGAGGGGGGUAGAAUUCCACGUGUAGCAGUGAAAUGCGUAGAGAUGUGGAGGAAUACCGAUGGCGAAGGCAGCCCCCUGGGCCAAUACUGACGCUCAUGCACGAAAGCGUGGGGAGCAAACAGGAUUAGAUACCCUGGUAGUCCACGCCCUAAACGAUGUCAACUAGUUGUUGGGGAUUCAUUUCCUUAGUAACGUAGCUAACGCGUGAAGUUGACCGCCUGGGGAGUACGGUCGCAAGAUUAAAACUC
Molecule: ribosomal RNA, 554 nt
Filed under: uncultured bacterium
Lineage: Bacteria
Description: partial 16S ribosomal RNA
Rfam family: Bacterial small subunit ribosomal RNA
Source: RNAcentral